Molecule: long non-coding RNA, 1301 nt
Filed under: Oryza sativa Indica Group (long-grained rice)
Lineage: Eukaryota; Viridiplantae; Streptophyta; Magnoliopsida; Poales; Poaceae
Description: lncRNA OsIR64_07g0025910
Source: RNAcentral
UGGUUCGGUUGAACCCCGUCGAUCUCUAUCCCUCUCUUACUCUCUCUCGUGUUCCUCUUCACUACCACUUCUAAUUCUAGAAGCUUCCUCUACUUCUUCCAUCUCAAUUCCUCUUCUAUUUUUCUGAGAUUGUAUUUGAAUUUGAUUGUUCUUGAGAUUACUGAAUUGGAAGAAGAGGCUGUUAACAAUCUGGUAUCAGAGCCGUUCGGUUCACUGGGAUUUUUGUCAUGGAGGUGUUGGGGAGGCAGCAUGAGCCAUGCAAGAUGGAGCAAGAAUUGAGUUGGGAAGGUUUUCAUCCAAGCAUCGCCCACCAACUGCUCGAUGGAAUGCCAAGCCAACCUGGGAUGUCCAAGGAAGAUCAGAGGAUAUCUGAGCCCGUUCUCAUCAAUACCACCAUGAAUAAAGAGGAGAAAUGGCUAGAUGAAGCUUUGGAUCGGAUAUUGGAGAAGUUUGAACAAAUGGAGGCCAAGCGCCGGCAAGAGGACAAGCUCAAUCAAAAUUUUCAGAAGUUGGAGGAGAUAGAGGCUCGUAGGAGCAAGGCUUCCGAGGAGACGAUUGCUGCCAUCAGGGCAACCACCGCCAUUCUCAAGGCUGCAUCAUCUUCGACACCUAUGGCACCACCUCCUCCAGCGCCCACCAACUGUUUGAUGGAAUGCCACAACAACAACUUCACUUGGGUGGCAGUGAAUUCAAGUCACAUCCGCGAGGUACCUGCCCCGAUGGUUGCCUUCGAGCUUGGGGACGUCGAGGACAAGGAUCCUGUCCCCUACAUUGCCGCCAAGGACCUUCCCAAGGUCACGCCCACCAAGUGUUCGACGAUAUGUUCCAGCUCCGACACCAAGCCCGAUCACAUUGUGGCUACUGUGGUUACUUGCGCCACCCUUGUCGUGUCAUCAAUGGAGUUGGUAGCUAUUGACGGCACCACUGGCAACACCAACAUUGACACCCCUGAUAGUACCAAGGCGAUGCCCGCCAACUGUUCGACAGUUGGCCUUGAUGUCAAGGGUGGUGCAGACCACGCCAGGGUCACAUGCCAGAUCAUGAUGGGUGUUCCUGAGGGUAUUGUAUUACCUGAUGCAUCAUCCGAAGUCUUGUCGCCAUGGUUGAUCGCUGAAAUGGACCUUGCCAAGCUGAUGCCCACUGAGUGUUUGAUGAAAUGCCUCAAAGCUAUCAAGAAGUUGCUGGUGGGGCAUCCCAAGAGAGAUCCUUGGCCACCUCCCUGGUCAGGUGGUGUGGUUAGAGGAGGGGAGGUGUGGCACAUCCCAUGGUUUGAUGCCACCAUGGCCACCUCCAACCUGUGA